This 1117-nucleotide unclassified non-coding RNA is filed under the name Helichrysum psilolepis. RNAcentral's name for it is "contains 5' external transcribed spacer, ETS". The record is from RNAcentral. Lineage: Eukaryota; Viridiplantae; Streptophyta; Magnoliopsida; Asterales; Asteraceae.
GUUGCGUCACGGGUCGAGUUAAUCAAGACUUUUGAGUGACAAUAUGCUCGAUGUCGAAGGCAUUGUAACCCAACAAGUGGGGAGUUCGAUUUGGUUGGGACAAAUCGAACGAUCUGCGGUAGCAGCGAUAAAUGAUGUGUUGUGGAUGCAACCUUAGCCAUGCACGGAUGUUGUUGUUACUUUCUGAUUUUGAUGAGAUUUGUCGAUUCUUGGAGCGAUGUCAAGUUGUUUAGGGAUCUUAGUUUAACUUUGAUCUUAGUUUUAUGCUUAAUUGGUAUCUUCAUAAGGCCUGCACUAUCAGUACGAUUGUAUGGCAUGUUGUUGUUUGAUUGUUGCCUUACGAUUGGAUUGUUGGUGUAACCGAUGACAUGAUUUGGCCUGUUAAUCAUAAAGCUGUGAUUACAAUUUGACGUUGUUUCGUUUGUUGAUGAAUUUUGUUGAAUGGUGUUAAAAGGGGCUGAUUUUUCGAUGCGUUGUUGGUGAUGACAUUCGUCUAGAGGUGAUGCGGUGUCAUGUUGCCUGUGUAUCCUGGUUUUGAGUUAUUGAACUUAAAACAUGUGGAUUGUCGGUUAGUGGCUUGGCAUCGCUCCCUUGGUUGAUGAAAGUCAUCCAAUGAUGCGGUGGUUUUUUUGUUUUCUUCUCGCAUUGCUCGGUGCAUUCUGGGGUCAUUUUGGCUGUUGGCAGCUUGCUUGGCAAUUGAGCUUGGUGGGUUGCUACCGGUUGGGUGUCUUCGGGGAUGUCUAUCGUAAAGGUGCAUGAGUGGUGUUUGGUUUGUUACGGGUGGUUGGCUCUUUGCUUGCGCAACAACUUCUACCCGGCAUACCUCUUCAGUCUUGUGUCAAUGCUUGUAUUGCAUUGRAUGCAYGACGGGUUUCUUGUGUUGCAUGCCUAACUAAUGGUAUCACUUGAUGUAUCGGUUUUCCUUUCGUCUUGCAUUGCCUAUGUGAUGUGAGAUGAACCUUGAAGCAGCCUUUGUGAUCCACUCUUUUGAUGCAUACGCAUUGAUUUUGUGGCCCAUUGAGUGUUGCUUGGUCUCAUGGAUAUGGAACCUGGUGUGGGCAUGGAAUCUUAAUGGUUCCUUGUUUGUCCAAGUUUAGCUUUUCUAAAACGAUUGUCU